UGGGGAAUAUUGCGCAAUGGGCGAAAGCCUGACGCAGCCAUGCCGCGUGUGUGAAGAAGGCCUUCGGGUUGUAAAGCACUUUCAAUUGGGAGGAAAGGCUCACGACUAAUACUCGUGAGCUGUGACGUUACCUUUAGAAGAAGCACCGGCUAACUCCGUGCCAGCAGCCGCGGUAAUACGGAGGGUGCGAGCGUUAAUCGGAAUUACUGGGCGUAAAGCGCGCGUAGGUGGUCUGUUAAGUCGGAUGUGAAAGCCCCGGGCUCAACCUGGGAACUGCAUCCGAUACUGGCAGACUAGAGUGCGGGAGAGGGAGGUAGAAUUCCACGUGUAGCGGUGAAAUGCGUAGAUAUGUGGAGGAAUACCAGUGGCGAAGGCGGCCUCCUGGCUCGACACUGACACUGAGGUGCGAAAGCGUGGGUAGCAAACAGG
This 429-nucleotide ribosomal RNA is filed under the name uncultured bacterium. Its description in RNAcentral is "bacterial SSU rRNA". It matches the Rfam family "Bacterial small subunit ribosomal RNA", at positions 355 to 776 of the family's 1533-position model. The record is from RNAcentral.